GGCUGGUCCGAGUGCAGUGGUGUUUACAACUGGAUCACAACCAGUUACAGAUUUCUUUGUCCCUUCUCAUUUCCCACUGCUUGACUUGACUAGGCUUAA
Molecule: Y RNA, 99 nt
Organism: Callithrix jacchus (white-tufted-ear marmoset)
Lineage: Eukaryota; Metazoa; Chordata; Mammalia; Primates; Cebidae
Rfam family: Y RNA
About the family: Y RNAs are components of the Ro ribonucleoprotein particle (Ro RNP), in association with Ro60 and La proteins. The Y RNAs and Ro60 and La proteins are well conserved, but the function of the Ro RNP is not known.
Source: Ensembl